Molecule: ribosomal RNA, 253 nt
Filed under: uncultured bacterium
Lineage: Bacteria
Description: partial 16S ribosomal RNA
Rfam family: Bacterial small subunit ribosomal RNA
Source: RNAcentral
UACAGAGGGGGCAAGCGUUGUUCGGAAUUACUGGGCGUAAAGGGCGCGUAGGCGGCCCGCUAAGUCGAACGUGAAAUCCCCGAGCUCAACUCGGGAACUUCGUCCGAUACUGGUGGGCUUGAAUCCGGGAGAGGGAUGCGGAAUUCCAGGUGUAGCGGUGAAAUGCGUAGAUAUCUGGAGGAACACCGGUGGCGAAGGCGGCAUCCUGGACCGGCAUUGACGCUGAGGCGCGAAAGCUAGGGGAGCAAACAGG